CUACCUUCGGGUGGCGAGUAAAGUAGCGCACGGGUGAGUAACGCGUGAGUGACCUUCCCUUGAAUCUGGAAUAACACCGCGAAAGUGGUGCUAAUACCGGAUACGACCCAACAGCAAUGUUGGGAGAAAGCCGGCCUCUCUUUAGAAGCUGGUGUUCGAGGAUGGGCUCGCGUCCUAUCAGCUAGUUGGUGAGGUUAUGGCUCACCAAGGCGACGACGGGUAGCUGGUCUGAGAGGAUGAUCAGCCACACUGGCACUGAAACACGGGCCAGACUCCUACGGGAGGCAGCAGUGGGGAAUUUUGCGCAAUGGGGGAAACCCUGACGCAGCAACGCCGCGUGAGUGAAGAAGGCCUUCGGGUCGUAAAGCUCUGUCGAGUGGGAAGAAACGUCCCGCGAAUAAUACGCGCGGGAUUUGACGGUACCACUAAAGGAAGCACCGGCUAACUCCGUGCCAGCAGCCGCGGUAAUACGGAGGGUGCUAGCGUUGUUCGGAUUUAUUGGGCGUAAAGGGCGCGUAGGCGGCUAGGUAAGUCUGACGUGAAAGCCCAGGGCUCAACCCUGGAAGUGCAUUGGAUACUGCUUAGCUAGAGUACUGGAGAGGAAGGGGGAAUUCCCGGUGUAGAGGUGAAAUUUGUAGAGAUCGGGAGGAAUAUCUGUGGCGAAGGCGCCCUUCUGGACGGAUACUGACGCUGAGGCGCGAAAGCGUGGGGAGCAAACAGGAUUAGAUACCCUGGUAGUCCACGCCGUAAACGAUGAGCACUAGGUGUAGCGGGUAUUGACUCCUGCUGUGCCGCAGCUAACGCAAUAAGUGCUCCGCCUGGGGAUUACGGUCGCAAGACUAAAACUCAAAGGAAUUGACGGGGGCCCGCACAAGCGGUGGAGCAUGUGGUUUAAUUCGACGCAACGCGAAGAACCUUACCUGGGUUUGACAUCCUCUGCUCGCCAUGGAAACAUGGUUUUCUCCUUCGGGAGACAGAGUGACAGGUGCUGCAUGGCUGUCGUCAGCUCGUGUCGUGAGAUGUUGGGUUAAGUCCCGCAACGAGCCAACCCCUGCCUUUAGUUGCCAUCAUUCAGUUGGGCACUCUAGAGGGACUGCCGGUGUUAAACCGGAGGAAGGUGGGGAUGACGUCAAGUCCUCAUGGCCUUUAUAUCCAGGGCUACACACGUGCUACAAUGGGCGGUACAAAGGGUCGCGACCUCGCGAGAGGAAGCCAAUCCCAAAAAGCCGUUCACAGUUCGGAUUGGAGUCUGCAACUUGACUCCAUGAAGUUGGAAUCGCUAGUAAUCCCGCAUCAGCAUGGCGGGAUGAAUACGUUCCCGGGCCUUGUACACACCGCCCGUCACACCACGAAAGUCGGCUGUACCAGAAGUACGUAGGCUAACU
This 1385-nucleotide ribosomal RNA is filed under the name metagenome. Its description in RNAcentral is "bacterial SSU rRNA". It matches the Rfam family "Bacterial small subunit ribosomal RNA", at positions 74 to 1440 of the family's 1533-position model. The record is from RNAcentral.